GGGAUUGUGGCUCAGAGGUAGAGCGCUCACCUACCAUGUGUGAGUUGCUGGGGUUCGAUCCUCAAUACCA
This is a non-coding RNA of Ictidomys tridecemlineatus (thirteen-lined ground squirrel), 70 nucleotides long. The record is from Rfam. NCBI's taxonomy places the organism in Eukaryota, Metazoa, Chordata, Mammalia, Rodentia, Sciuridae.